GCUUAUUUAGUAUAAAUAGUACGGCUGCCUUCCAAGUAGCGAGUUUAAGGGUUUUUAAAAUAAGUA
Molecule: transfer RNA, 66 nt
Filed under: Haliotis sp. 1 KW-2022
Lineage: Eukaryota; Metazoa; Mollusca; Gastropoda; Lepetellida; Haliotidae
Description: tRNA-Gly
Source: RNAcentral